RNAcentral lists this microRNA precursor (103 nucleotides) under Medicago truncatula (barrel medic). RNAcentral describes it as "miR2634 stem-loop (mtr-MIR2634)". The record is from miRBase by way of RNAcentral. Lineage: Eukaryota; Viridiplantae; Streptophyta; Magnoliopsida; Fabales; Fabaceae.
AUUCUAGCCAUGAUACGAUCAACAAACUCAGAAUUGAAGAGUAUGGCUUAAAUGCUUAGACACUCCUUUAUUCUCAGUUUGUUGCUCACAUCAUAGCCGGAAA